GUGACCGUACACUAUCAGCAGCGGCUCGGAGGGCGUUGCUUUUUCCCCAAGAGGUUUAGGAAGGUAGAAGAUGUGUACCAGAAGGUGGCUGCCACUGAUGAUGAAGAGUUGGAGGGGGAUUCUCAUGUCGUUGGCCAUCUUCCAUCUGUUUGAUAAUAUAAUUAUCCCCAUUAUGGCUAGUUAACCUGAUUCAAGAAAUGGGUAUUGGGGUUUUUGCUUGAUGAUUCUGUAAAAUAACAACCACCUUUAUUGCGUUCUUGUCUAAAUUGGAAACACUAGUUCUAUAACUGAAAGGUAUGCAAGUAGGGGUUUCAAUGGAAUUUUGAAUUGCUAUAAGAAUGCUGGAGCUUCAGUCGUAUAAACUCAUAUAAUUAUUUUGGGAAUCGUGGGAAAUUGAGGCGUACCUGUCUUUUAGGUUCUGCGAGCUGGAACUCCCCCUGAAAAAUUGUAUCAUUUGACUGAAGCAAUGAGACGAAGAAAUUAACGGUAUAACUCUUCAAGGCCUAUUGACCAAAUUUUUUGUUCCGCCGACGACUGAUGAUCAUCUCCCGCAUUUCCGAUCCAGUUUUUUUAAAACAUUC
RNAcentral lists this long non-coding RNA (581 nucleotides) under Linum usitatissimum (flax). Its description in RNAcentral is "long non-coding RNA (LUSI_LNC004417)". The record is from RNAcentral. Lineage: Eukaryota; Viridiplantae; Streptophyta; Magnoliopsida; Malpighiales; Linaceae.